This 189-nucleotide ribozyme is filed under the name Anopheles gambiae (African malaria mosquito). Its description in RNAcentral is "drz-agam-2-2 ribozyme". It matches the Rfam family "drz-agam-2-2 ribozyme". The record is from Rfam by way of RNAcentral. Lineage: Eukaryota; Metazoa; Arthropoda; Insecta; Diptera; Culicidae.
AUCAUUUUUCAGCAUUUUUAAUAUUACACAAAAAAAUAAUUUUUGUAGCAGCCGUGUCGACCUGGACUAGCCGUGGCAGUUGCGCUGCCACCGGUCACCGUCACAUGUGCCUCCAUAUAUCCUAGCUUGGGUACACGGGCUAGAUCCAACCCCUUGGGUGGAUGGUGGCAUAUGGCGAACCAGGUGGGG